Acanthosepion pharaonis is the source of this 107-nucleotide non-coding RNA. Lineage: Eukaryota; Metazoa; Mollusca; Cephalopoda; Sepiida; Sepiidae. The record is from the annotation of a GenBank genome assembly.
ACGGCCACAUCACGUUGAAACACCGGCUCUCGAUCCCCGAAAUUAAGCAAUGUAGGGCCUAGUCAGUACUCGACAGAUGACCACUUGGGAAGACCAGGUACUGUAAG